UUUUCACUCAAAAUCACACACACAGACUGAAGAAAAAUGGGCAGAAGCUGGAGACUGAAAAAGGGAGAAAAAUUAGGGAAAAAGGGAAGAAAAAAGGAAAGAAGGAAGGGAAGAAGAAAAGUGAAGAAGAAGAAAAGAGGUAAGGCUGAUCUCUUCAAGUUUGGGUUGAAUAUUUUUCCAAUUGUUUUCGAGUGAUAAAGUAUGAUUUAUGUUAAAAUUCUAGGGUUUUAACUUGUAGUAGAAAUUUUUAAAUUUAGGUGUGAGGAACUCGAAUUGGAGCUCAAAUUUGGGGAUUUCUUCAUUUCCAAUUCCAGCUAGAUAAGGAAUAUUAUUUUAGCAAACUCUAGAAAUUUUAUUUGGGAUUUUUGGAUUAAGUAUGUUCAUGAAAAUGAUGAUGUUGAGAAAAUAAUUAUUUGAAAGCAUGAAAUUAUGGAACAAGAGGAAAAUUUAAUUGGUCGAAUUAUAGCAACUUCUUGUCACUAGAAUGAAGUGGGUUGUCACGGUAAUGCUUGGAAAUGAAGGUUAUGUUGAUAAAUUAAGGGAUUAUAAAAUGUGAUUAGCUACAAUUAAUAAAGGAAAAUUUGAGAAUUUAUUCAAGUGUCAAGAGAAUUUAAAUUAAGUUCUAUCAUUAACUAUUAAGGUUUCUUGAUUAGAUAGAGGAUAAGUUGGUUAUUAAUAUCGUAUUUCAGAUGGUGACGAGAAAAUUGAAAACGUUUAUCUGGCAAUCUAGCUUGUAGCUCCUACCUUGUGAGUGGAUAAAACUUAUUUAUCAAAAAUAAGUCUUCUUUAAAUUUUAAAGUUAUUUAUUUUAUAAAGUUAACUUCAUAGCAUGAUUUUCAGAAUAAAAUGGAUUUUAUUAUCAACUUCUUUUAAAGUUAAAUUCAGUUCAGUUAAAUUAUUUUAGUAGUAUGUUAUAUUCUUAUUACAUGUUUCAGUAUAGUUAAAGUUAUUUCUAAAAAUCACCAGAAAGUACCCAGGUGAUUUUAUCCCAGUUUGCACUGAUGUGAAUGUGUUUCCAUAGUGUAUGACUAGUUAUAAUGAUUUUACCCGCUCUGCACUAUCGUGAAUGUGUUUCCAUAGUGUAUGACCAGAUUAUCAGAGGUCUUUGGGACCCACUCUCGUACACACAUAGGCUUUGGGCCGUGUACUAGGGUGAUUAGCCUUUGUGGCAGCUCUGCGUACGUAUGACCAGAUUAUCAGAUUAUCAGCUAUCAGAUUAGAAUGACUUUGCCUUGUACAUCGAGAUUACUCUGUACAUGUGUAAGGCUAUUCAUUGGGUACUCUUUUUGGUGCGAUUUUUCAGUAUUUAUUCAGUUCUCAAACUUUAGGUUAUGGAAUUCAGUUAAUUCAGUUUUCAGAAUAAAGUUUUCAACUUAUAGUAUUGAGCAUCAGCAAUAUUUCAUAGAUUUUCAUGAAUAUCAGAUUCCUUAUAUUUGUUAUACCUUACAGAUACUUAUCUAGAAUUUAGAACAAAGAAUUUUAUAAUGUAAUCAUGUUUAGUUUUAAAAGUAUUACUAGAUUCAGAAAUCUUAAGGAUUUAAUAAAGUUAAAAUUUUUAGAAAAUAUGCAUAAAUGGAAAAAAGUUUACUUAUUUGCAAAUUAUCCACUCACUGAGUUACAAGUCAUAUUUUUGUUAUGUUUUUCCUAUCAGGAGACCGUUAAUUUUCAGAUACUUGGAAAAGCUUGCUGAAGCGGAAGAGACCGUUUCAUAGUAUGUAAUGAAUUGUUGGGGAACUCAUGUUUAUUAAGUACUUUGUCUAAUAUUUGGGGUGUCAUGCACUUUGUAGAAGGGUUUGUAAUUGAUGUAAUGCUUGCAUGUAGACAUGAUGUUAUUGUAGAAGUACUUAGUCGAAUUUUGUUAUAUUUUGUUUAAGUUGUGGUGGUAUUAGUGGAAGUGGUGGUUUCCAAAACUUUUGGUUUGGAUGUCUAUUUGAG
Molecule: long non-coding RNA, 1935 nt
Filed under: Olea europaea subsp. europaea
Lineage: Eukaryota; Viridiplantae; Streptophyta; Magnoliopsida; Lamiales; Oleaceae
Source: RNAcentral